Amborella trichopoda is the source of this 1013-nucleotide long non-coding RNA. RefSeq lists it as uncharacterized. NCBI's taxonomy places the organism in Eukaryota, Viridiplantae, Streptophyta, Magnoliopsida, Amborellales, Amborellaceae. The record is from RefSeq and is a predicted model, not a curated record.
UCAUUGAAAACAAAUAUCACUGAAAAUAAGGAGACGCCUGAAGACUAUGGGUAAUAUCUGCUUCCUUCAAAACAUGGAGAGGCCUGGAGCUGAAAGGGAGGGAAGGAUGGGAUGGAGUUGAAAGGGAGAGCAUGGGUAAUCGCUGCUUCAUUGAGAACAGAGAGAGGCCUGGAGCUGAAUAGCUGCUCCAUUAAAAGCAGGGAGAUGCCUAGAGCUGAAUGGGGAAGAUGGGCUGGAGCUGAAAAGAUUAGAAAAUGAAAGGGGAUUUCUAUGUUAGAGAGAGAGGGGGUUUCUAUGUUAGAGAGAGAAAUUGAAAGGGGGUUUUCUGUUAGAGAGAGAAAGAAAUAGAAAUUGAAAGGGAGUUUUCCGUUAGAGAGAGAAAAAGAAAUAGAAAUUGAAAGGGGGUUUUCUCUGUGAGAGAAAUUGGAACGGGGUUUUCCGUUAGAGAGAGAAAAUGAAAUGCGGUUCUUAAGGUUUUUCUCUGUAAUUGCAGGAGCAAGAAGAUGAAGUUUUUUUUCUGAAAUUUGCAGGAGCAUGAAGAUUAUGAAAUUUGCAGGAGCAAGAAGAUGGAGUUUUUUUCUGAAAUUUGCAAGAGCAUGACGAUUAUGAAAUUUGCAGGAGCAUGAAAUUAGGACUUGCAAUCGGGGACCAGGUGAUAUGCCUUUAUAUGCAUCCGGUAGCCUUAAUGGCACUCGGACUUCCAAGUUCGGUUGGACUGUGGGUCCGCGGUGAACCUCCUUCCUUUAAAUAGAUGUAAAGCAUGCUGGGACACAAUGAUCUCAAACCCAUUCAAGGCUUUAACCAAGAUGGCGAGGUGGAUGACCUGAGGACUCAGCCCCUAAUUAAAUGUUAUAGGCUUGGACACCUCUUAUAACAUGCUGUUGGCAACUCUCUAGUUGCAUGAUUGUGGCGUAGUUCUGUUACAAUGCUCAAGGAUGUGCAAAACAUACAGCAAAAGACUGUUUGCGCAGACAAGAAGCCCUUUGCGCAAGUCACAUGCAGCCGUUGCUAAA